GUUAUGUCUUCAUUUAUGAGAUGUUCUACAACUCUUGCCUUAGAAAUAAGACUUAGCUCAAAUACUUUCAAACUACAAAUUAUGCCCCAAGGGCAAGAGUUGACACUACCACAUUGUGUCUUUACUUAUGAGAUGUUCUACAACUCUUGCCUUAGAGGCAAGACUUAGCUCAAAGACUUUCAAACUAUAAAUUAUGCCCCAUGGAAAAGAGUUGAUA
RNAcentral lists this long non-coding RNA (217 nucleotides) under Capsicum annuum. Its description in RNAcentral is "long non-coding RNA (CANN_LNC018816)". The record is from RNAcentral. Lineage: Eukaryota; Viridiplantae; Streptophyta; Magnoliopsida; Solanales; Solanaceae.